CCUACGGGGCGCUGCAGUAGGGAAUAUUGCUCAAUGGGGGAAACCCUGACGCAGCAACGCCGCGUGAACGAGACGGCUUUCGGGGUGUAAAGUUCUUUUUGUGGGGACGGAUAAUGACGGUAUCUACAGAAUAAGCACCGGCUAACUCCGUGCCAGCAGCCGCGGUAAUACGGAGGGUGCAAGCGUUAUCCGGAAUCAUUGGGCGUAAAGAGCGCGUAGGCGGGAUAUAAAGUCAGAUGUGAAAGCCUAAGGCUUAACCAGAGAACUGCAUUUGAAACUGGUAAGCUGGAGUGUGGGAGAGGUAGGGGGAAUUCUUGGUGUAGGGGUAAAAUCCGUAGAGAUCAAGAGGAAUACUCAUGGCGAAAGCGAUUUGCUAGAACGUAACUGACGCUGAGGAGCGAAAGCGUGGGGAGCAAACGGGAUUAGAUACCCGUGUAGUC
This 440-nucleotide ribosomal RNA is filed under the name uncultured bacterium. RNAcentral describes it as "partial 16S ribosomal RNA". It matches the Rfam family "Bacterial small subunit ribosomal RNA", at positions 338 to 795 of the family's 1533-position model. The record is from RNAcentral.